This 68-nucleotide transfer RNA is filed under the name Trigonopterus puspoi. RNAcentral's name for it is "tRNA-Val". Lineage: Eukaryota; Metazoa; Arthropoda; Insecta; Coleoptera; Curculionidae. The record is from RNAcentral.
CGAGUCAGAGCUCAAAGAGAGUACUUUAUUUACACUAAAGUGGUUAUUAUAAAUAUGAUAUGGCUUGA